CCUACGGGGGGCUGCAGUGGGGAAUUUUGCGCAAUGGGCGAAAGCCUGACGCAGCAACGCCGCGUGUGUGAUGAAGGUCUUUGGAUUGUAAAGCACUUUCGACCGGGAAGAAAACCCGUUGGCUAACAUCCAACGGCUUGACGGUACCGGGAGAAGAAGCACCGGCUAACUCUGUGCCAGCAGCCGCGGUAAUACAGAGGGUGCAAGCGUUGUCCGGAAUUGUUGGGCGGAAGGCGCGUGUAGGCGGCGUGAAAGCCCUCAGCUCAACUGAGGAAGUGCGCCCGAAACUGUCGUGCUUGAGUGCCGGAGAGGGUGGCGGAAUUCCCCAAGUAGAGGUGAAAUUCGUAGAUAUGGGGAGGAACACCGGUGGCGAAGGCGGCCACCUGGACGGCAACUGACGCUGAGACGCGAAAGCGUGGGGAGCAAACAGGAUUAGAUACCCGUGUAGUC
RNAcentral lists this ribosomal RNA (450 nucleotides) under uncultured bacterium. RNAcentral's name for it is "partial 16S ribosomal RNA". It matches the Rfam family "Bacterial small subunit ribosomal RNA", at positions 338 to 795 of the family's 1533-position model. The record is from RNAcentral.